This is a long non-coding RNA of Helianthus annuus (common sunflower), 322 nucleotides long. RefSeq lists it as uncharacterized. The record is from RefSeq and is a predicted model, not a curated record. Lineage: Eukaryota; Viridiplantae; Streptophyta; Magnoliopsida; Asterales; Asteraceae. The transcript is spliced from 4 exons.
AUAUGCAUCCCUUGCACAACAGUCCUUCAUUUUUAAAGCUUAUUGAUGAAGAUGACCCGAUAUUUUUGGUGAAGAGCUUCUUUCAGACUCCUUCCCCUACAAGGAACUAUUGAAUGGGUUCCUAUGAGAAGUUGAAGAAAAGUUAUGGAUAAUGAAAACAACGCUGCUUCGUUAUUAAAGUCGAUUGAGGACUAUGAUCCUAUAUUUUUCGAAUUGUUCGUCGACCAAAAACAGGUGUUUAUUUUGGAUGGUCCGGAGUUUUUGGCUGCAACUAUGUUGGACAGAGAUAUGCAUGCUAUUGCUGUAAAUUGGUACCAUGUCC